Molecule: long non-coding RNA, 774 nt
Organism: Ochotona curzoniae (black-lipped pika)
Lineage: Eukaryota; Metazoa; Chordata; Mammalia; Lagomorpha; Ochotonidae
Exons: 6
Source: RefSeq, a predicted model, not a curated record
GGGGUCGCCCCAAGAAAAGACCACGCCUCGCUUUCGCUCGUGUCCAAUAGGAGCGACGGGGAGGAGCGGCCGUUUGCUGACGAAGGCGAGGGUAUAUAGGGAGCUGCUGGGGGCGCAGUUCGUUCUUUCACUUCGGGACGUCGGAGUUGCUUGUUGUGGCUUCGGAACAAUGGCGCCGGUUCGCGCUGCUGUGUCUGAGCAGUUCUGUGAAGAUGCUGAGAGGAAAAUUGUAAAACGUCUGGAAGAUACUUGAUGGAGAAGGACUUAGACGAAGCCUGACACGGAUCAGAGGCCAGGGCGUUGCUGAAUGCCAGCAAGGAUAACACAGCAGACACUUCACAUGGGAGUAACAGUGAGAGUCGCUGUUUACCCAUUGAAAAAAGGACAGCUUGGUGGAGAGUGCAGCCUUUCUGUCUAAUACCAGGAAGCUUGUCUGUAUGAAAGUUGAUUAAAGGAUCAAUAUUCCAAGAGAAGGUGAACGUGAAAAGUUUAAAAUUCAGUUAUGCUUCUUAUGGACUUUUCUUUAGCAAGUAAACAAGGUGGGAUUUUAAAGUGUUUUGAAGAUGCUCAGAUAGGAACAUCUGAUGAACCAGAGUUAUGAGUCAUAAUCCCUAAUGAGUUAUCAGUGUUAACUGUCAGAUUUGCAGUGCAAUUAAAGUGUGACUAAAAAACUUACCUUUUGUCUAUAUUGUGUUCUGCCAAUUCUCAAACAUUUCCUUUUAAAUGAGGUGAUGCGUUGUUACUAGAAGUUGAGCCCUGAAUUUUGGGAAUCUG